CGCUCCUUGCAAAAUUAUUGAUGAAUAAGGAGUUCUGCCUGCCCAGUGACUUAGUUAAACGGCCGCGGUAUUUUGACCGUGCAAAGGUAGCAUAAUCAUUUGCCUCUUAAAUAGAGGGUGGUAUGAAUGGCAAGACGGAGGUUAAGCUGUCUCUUUCUUAAUACUAGAAUUUAAUAUUUUUGUGAAGAAGCAGAAAUAAAUUCGUAGGACGAGAAGACCCUAUCGAGCUUUAACAAAUUUGUUAAUAAUUAGCUAAUACAAGGAAUUUAAUUAAGUUAUAUUAUAAUACAAUAAAUUUAGUUAUUUGUAUGUUAUUAUCUAAUAGAAUAGUUUUGAUGGGGCAAUCUCGGAGUAAAAAAAACCUCCGUUAAAAGUAUUAAAAAUUAUUAUUU
This 392-nucleotide ribosomal RNA is filed under the name Zoroaster carinatus. RNAcentral describes it as "partial 16S ribosomal RNA". The stretch from base 1 to 195 matches the Rfam family "Archaeal large subunit ribosomal RNA", at positions 1908 to 2143 of the family's 2987-position model. Lineage: Eukaryota; Metazoa; Echinodermata; Asteroidea; Forcipulatida; Zoroasteridae. The record is from RNAcentral.